AAACUCGAUAAGUAGCGUGAAUUGAAGACGCUUGAACGUUAAACUUUCGAACGCACAUUGUGCCGUAGGAGUCCUACCCUGCAGCAUACCUGGUUGAGGGUCGUGAUCAAAAACAGCAGGACUAUGACUGUAAUAGAAAUAGCUGAUGAACCACGAGUUCGGUCUACCGCCUCUGGCUGAACGUGUUUUGCCAUAAUGUUAGAGGACAGUCGCUUGCACGAGAAUUGCCUACCACAUAGAUGAUCUAUUAGCUGAAGCAAUAGGUCUCGGUCACCGGAUAUCAUGCUUAUAUACUACUCUGUGGCGUCUGAGAUACAGCUAAUGGGUUUCAUGCGUGUCUGGUAUCGAGAGUAUUCGCUCUCCCGACCUUCAACUCAGGUGUGAUUACCCGCUGAACUUA
Molecule: unclassified non-coding RNA, 400 nt
Filed under: uncultured fungus
Lineage: Eukaryota; Fungi
Description: sequence contains ITS1
Rfam family: 5.8S ribosomal RNA (bases 1-103)
Source: RNAcentral